RNAcentral lists this ribosomal RNA (235 nucleotides) under uncultured Candidatus Saccharibacteria bacterium. Its description in RNAcentral is "partial 16S ribosomal RNA". It matches the Rfam family "Bacterial small subunit ribosomal RNA", at positions 584 to 818 of the family's 1533-position model. The record is from RNAcentral. Lineage: Bacteria; Candidatus Saccharimonadota.
UAAGUAGACAGUGAAAUCUGGUGGCUCAACCAUUCAGACUAUUGUCUAAACUGCUAAGCUCGAGACCGUUAGGGUUACUGGAAUUUCUAGUGUAGGAGUGAAAUCCGUAGAUAUUAGAAGGAACACCGAUAGCGUAGGCAGGUAACUGGGACGGUUCUGACACCAAGGCGCGAAAGCGUAGGGAGCAAACGGGAUUAGAUACCCCGGUAGUCUACGCCGUAAACGAUGGAUACUA